Molecule: long non-coding RNA, 560 nt
Organism: Brienomyrus brachyistius
Lineage: Eukaryota; Metazoa; Chordata; Actinopteri; Osteoglossiformes; Mormyridae
Exons: 2
Source: RefSeq, a predicted model, not a curated record
AUCCACCCCUACAGAUACGCUAAUGCAGGCAAGGUAGGCUAAAUUAACGCUGAAUGUUCGUUCCCAUCCAGAUCCUUCCAGGGUGUACCUCUCCCUGCUUGGAUCAUUUCCAGGCGUGACGGCGCUGAAUAUGAAGUUAAACGCCGCAUUAUAUCAUACGACGACAGAACAGAAGAACAUUUUCAGCAGAAUGGAUUCAAGAAAGUAUCAAAAAUAUCAUUCAACUAAACCAGUCCCUUCUUGCUACUGAAAGCGACUGUAUUUGCGCAGACGAGCGUUGUCGAGAAGAAAAGCAUUACUGUAGCGUUUUAAUGGAAAAGUCGCCGUCACAUUUGUGACGAAUUACAGGUUGUGAAUGAUAACUUAAGGUUCGAAUGUAAAAAGGCAUAAUAAACAAUUACUUUUAGUACUAUCAUUCUCCUUUGUAGGCGGUUUGGCGAGUUGUCUGGUAACAUUGUUUUGUCAAUGUUUAGAUUGUACUGUAUUGCAUCUGAGUAUAUUCAUGAUAUCCUCCCCUUCCCUUACCUGUAAAUGGCUUUGGAUAAAGUGUCUGGUAAAUA